The sequence is a ribosomal RNA, 2880 nucleotides long. It matches the Rfam family "Bacterial large subunit ribosomal RNA".
AGAAGCGCAUACGGUGGAUGCCUUGGCAGUCAGAGGCGAUGAAAGACGUGGUAGCCUGCGAAAAGCUUCGGGGAGUCGGCAAACAGACUUUGAUCCGGAGAUGUCUGAAUGGGGGAACCCAGCCAUCAUAAGAUGGUUAUCUUACGCUGAAUACAUAGGCGUAAGAGGCGAACCAGGGGAACUGAAACAUCUAAGUACCCUGAGGAAAAGAAAUCAACCGAGAUUCCCUUAGUAGUGGCGAGCGAACGGGGACUAGCCCUUAAGUGGCUUUGAGAUUAGCGGAACGCUCUGGAAAGUGCGGCCAUAGUGGGUGAUAGCCCUGUACGCGAAAAUCUCUUAGUCAUGAAAUCGAGUAGGACGGAGCACGAGAAACUUUGUCUGAAUAUGGGGGGACCAUCCUCCAAGGCUAAAUACUACUGACUGACCGAUAGUGAACUAGUACCGUGAGGGAAAGGCGAAAAGAACCCCGGAGAGGGGAGUGAAAUAGAUCCUGAAACCGUAUGCGUACAAGCAGUGGGAGCCCACUUUGUUGGGUGACUGCGUACCUUUUGUAUAAUGGGUCAGCGACUUAUUUUCAGUGGCGAGCUUAACCGAAUAGGGGAGGCGUAGCGAAAGCGAGUCUUAAUAGGGCGUCUAGUCGCUGGGAAUAGACCCGAAACCGGGCGAUCUAUCCAUGGGCAGGUUGAAGGUUGGGUAACACUAACUGGAGGACCGAACCGACUACCGUUGAAAAGUUAGCGGAUGACCUGUGGAUCGGAGUGAAAGGCUAAUCAAGCUCGGAGAUAGCUGGUUCUCCUCGAAAGCUAUUUAGGUAGCGCCUCAUGUAUCACUGUAGGGGGUAGAGCACUGUUUCGGCUAGGGGGUCAUCCCGACUUACCAAACCGAUGCAAACUCCGAAUACCUACAAGUGCCGAGCAUGGGAGACACACGGCGGGUGCUAACGUCCGUCGUGAAAAGGGAAACAACCCAGACCGUCAGCUAAGGUCCCAAAGUUAUGGUUAAGUGGGAAACGAUGUGGGAAGGCUUAGACAGCUAGGAGGUUGGCUUAGAAGCAGCCACCCUUUAAAGAAAGCGUAAUAGCUCACUAGUCGAGUCGGCCUGCGCGGAAGAUGUAACGGGGCUCAAACCAUACACCGAAGCUACGGGUAUCACGUAAGUGAUGCGGUAGAGGAGCGUUCUGUAAGCCUGUGAAGGUGAGUUGAGAAGCUUGCUGGAGGUAUCAGAAGUGCGAAUGCUGACAUGAGUAACGACAAUGGGUGUGAAAAACACCCACGCCGAAAGACCAAGGUUUCCUGCGCAACGUUAAUCGACGCAGGGUUAGUCGGUCCCUAAGGCGAGGCUGAAAAGCGUAGUCGAUGGAAAACAGGUUAAUAUUCCUGUACUUCUGGUUAUUGCGAUGGAGGGACGGAGAAGGCUAGGCCAGCUUGGCGUUGGUUGUCCAAGUUUAAGGUGGUAGGCUGAGAUCUUAGGUAAAUCCGGGAUCUUAAGGCCGAGAGCUGAUGACGAGUCGUCUUUUAGAUGACGAAGUGGUUGAUGCCAUGCUUCCAAGAAAAGCUUCUAAGCUUCAGGUAACCAGGAACCGUACCCCAAACCGACACAGGUGGUUGGGUAGAGAAUACCAAGGCGCUUGAGAGAACUCGGGUGAAGGAACUAGGCAAAAUGGCACCGUAACUUCGGGAGAAGGUGCGCCGGUGAGGGUGAAGGACUUGCUCCGUAAGCUCAUGCCGGUCGAAGAUACCAGGCCGCUGCGACUGUUUAUUAAAAACACAGCACUCUGCAAACACGAAAGUGGACGUAUAGGGUGUGACGCCUGCCCGGUGCCGGAAGGUUAAUUGAUGGGGUUAGCUAACGCGAAGCUCUUGAUCGAAGCCCCGGUAAACGGCGGCCGUAACUAUAACGGUCCUAAGGUAGCGAAAUUCCUUGUCGGGUAAGUUCCGACCUGCACGAAUGGCGUAACGAUGGCGGCGCUGUCUCCACCCGAGACUCAGUGAAAUUGAAAUCGCUGUGAAGAUGCAGUGUAUCCGCGGCUAGACGGAAAGACCCCGUGAACCUUUACUAUAGCUUUGCACUGGACUUUGAAUUUGCUUGUGUAGGAUAGGUGGGAGGCUUUGAAGCGUGGACGCCAGUCUGCGUGGAGCCAACCUUGAAAUACCACCCUGGCAACUUUGAGGUUCUAACUCAGGUCCGUUAUCCGGAUCGAGGACAGUGUAUGGUGGGUAGUUUGACUGGGGCGGUCUCCUCCUAAAGAGUAACGGAGGAGUACGAAGGUGCGCUCAGACCGGUCGGAAAUCGGUCGUAGAGUAUAAAGGCAAAAGCGCGCUUGACUGCGAGACAGACACGUCGAGCAGGUACGAAAGUAGGUCUUAGUGAUCCGGUGGUUCUGUAUGGAAGGGCCAUCGCUCAACGGAUAAAAGGUACUCCGGGGAUAACAGGCUGAUACCGCCCAAGAGUUCAUAUCGACGGCGGUGUUUGGCACCUCGAUGUCGGCUCAUCACAUCCUGGGGCUGAAGCCGGUCCCAAGGGUAUGGCUGUUCGCCAUUUAAAGUGGUACGCGAGCUGGGUUUAGAACGUCGUGAGACAGUUCGGUCCCUAUCUGCCGUGGACGUUUGAGAUUUGAGAGGGGCUGCUCCUAGUACGAGAGGACCGGAGUGGACGAACCUCUGGUGUUCCGGUUGUCACGCCAGUGGCAUUGCCGGGUAGCUAUGUUCGGAAUAGAUAACCGCUGAAAGCAUCUAAGCGGGAAACUAGCCUCAAGAUGAGAUCUCACUGGAACCUUGAGUUCCCUGAAGGGCCGUCGAAGACUACGACGUUGAUAGGUUGGGUGUGUAAGCGCUGUGAGGCGUUGAGCUAACCAAUACUAAUUGCCCGUGAGGCUUGACC